GAUGAACGCUAGCGGGAGGCCUAACACAUGCAAGCCGAGCGGUAGAGUUUCUUCGGAAACUUGAGAGCGGCGCACGGGUGCGUAACACGUGUGCAACCUACCUUUAUCUGGGGGAUAGCCUUUCGAAAGGAAGAUUAAUACCCCAUAAUAUAAUGAUUGGCAUCAAUUAUUAUUGAAAACUCCGGUGGAUAGAGAUGGGCACGCGCAAGAUUAGAUAGUUGGUGAGGUAACGGCUCACCAAGUCAAUGAUCUUUAGGGGUCCUGAGAGGGAGAUCCCCCACACUGGUACUGAGACACGGACCAGACUCCUACGGGAGGCAGCAGUGAGGAAUAUUGGACAAUGGGUGAGAGCCUGAUCCAGCCAUCCCGCGUGAAGGAUAACGGCCCUAUGGAUUGUAAACUUCUUUUGUACAGGGAUAAACCUACCCUCGUGAGGGUAGCUGAAGGUACUGUACGAAUAAGCACCGGCUAACUCCGUG
Molecule: ribosomal RNA, 479 nt
Filed under: uncultured bacterium
Lineage: Bacteria
Description: partial 16S ribosomal RNA
Rfam family: Bacterial small subunit ribosomal RNA
Source: RNAcentral